This 22-nucleotide unclassified non-coding RNA is filed under the name Dictyostelium discoideum. The record is from RNAcentral. Lineage: Eukaryota; Evosea; Eumycetozoa; Dictyosteliales; Dictyosteliaceae.
AAUACCUGACUUUGAGAGUGUU